Molecule: small nuclear RNA, 325 nt
Filed under: Canis lupus familiaris (dog)
Lineage: Eukaryota; Metazoa; Chordata; Mammalia; Carnivora; Canidae
Also listed under: 1 other name
Description: 7SK RNA
Rfam family: 7SK RNA
About the family: 7SK was discovered as an abundant small nuclear RNA in the mid-70s but a possible function has only recently been suggested. Two independent studies have found that 7SK RNA binds the CDK9/cyclin T complex (known as elongation factor P-TEFb). P-TEFb activates transcription by phosphorylating the C-terminal domain of RNA polymerase II.
Source: Rfam by way of RNAcentral
GGAUAUGAGGGUGAUCUGGUUGUGACAUCUGUCACCCCAUUGAUCACUAGGCUUGAUUUGGCUGAUCUGUCUGGCUAGGCCAUCCUCUUCCUCCCUCACUGCUCCAUGUGCAUCCCUCACAAAGCUGUGUGCUGUAUUGAAGAGGGUGACCAUCCCAGAUAGGAGAGGACCAUUCUUCUGUCAAAGGUAUACAGGUAGCUGUGCUCCCCUGCUAGAACCUCCAAAUAAGCUCUCAAGGUCUAUUUGUAGAACAUAGGGUAGUCAAGUUUCCAAGACUCCAGACACAUCCAAAUGAGGUGCUGCCUGUGGCAGUCUGCAUUUCUUA